Molecule: ribosomal RNA, 253 nt
Filed under: uncultured bacterium
Lineage: Bacteria
Description: partial 16S ribosomal RNA
Rfam family: Bacterial small subunit ribosomal RNA
Source: RNAcentral
UACGAAGGGAGCUAGCGUUGUUCGGAAUCACUGGGCGUAAAGCGCACGUAGGCGGAUGUGUCAGUCAGGGGUGAAAUCCCGGAGCUCAACUCCAGAACUGCCUUUGAUACUGAGGAUCUUGAGUUCGGGAGAGGUGAGUGGAACUGCGAGUGUAGAGGUGAAAUUCGUAGAUAUUGGGAAGAACACCGGUGGCGAAGGCGGCUCUCUGGACCGAUACUGACGCUGAGGCGCGAAAGCGUGGGGAGCAAACAGG